AUUGAACGCUGGCGGCAUGCUUUACACAUGCAAGUCGAACGGUAGAGGGGGCAACCCCUUGAGAGCGGCGAACGGGUGAGUAAUGCAUCGGAACGUGCCAGUCGUGGGGGAUAACGCAGCGAAAGCUGUGCUAAUACCGCAUACGAUCUCUGGAUGAAAGCGGGGGACCGAAAGGCCUCGCGCGAUUGGAGCGGCCGGUGUCAGAUUAGGUAGUUGGUGGGGUAAAGGCUCACCAAGCCAACGAUCUGUAGCUGGUCUGAGAGGACGACCAGCCACACUGGGACUGAGACACGGCCCAGACUCCUACGGGAGGCAGCAGUGGGGAAUUUUGGACAAUGGGCGCAAGCCUGAUCCAGCAAUGCCGCGUGCAGGAAGAAGGCCUUCGGGUUGUAAACUGCUUUUGUACGGAACGAAAAGGUCUGGGUUAAUACCCUGGGCACAUGACGGUACCGUAAGAAUAAGCACCGGCUAACUACGUGCCAGCAGCCGCCGCAG
RNAcentral lists this ribosomal RNA (495 nucleotides) under uncultured bacterium. Its description in RNAcentral is "partial 16S ribosomal RNA". It matches the Rfam family "Bacterial small subunit ribosomal RNA", at positions 29 to 523 of the family's 1533-position model. The record is from RNAcentral.